Coffea arabica (coffee) is the source of this 2354-nucleotide long non-coding RNA. RefSeq lists it as uncharacterized. NCBI's taxonomy places the organism in Eukaryota, Viridiplantae, Streptophyta, Magnoliopsida, Gentianales, Rubiaceae. The record is from RefSeq and is a predicted model, not a curated record.
UUUUUGUCUUUUGAAUCAGUUUUAAAAAAUAUUCAAAUCAAUAUUGGAAGUUCCCAAGUUAUUCGUCAAAUCGCUUCUACGAGUUUCAAACUAUGUUAGCCGAACCAAGCAUGAAAAUUGGUUGUUUUAGUGCAAAAAUGAAGAGUAUAAGACUAAGAACGGCAAGGCAAAUUGAUUAACGGCUAAAUUUUACCAUUUAUUGUGUCUUGGAUAUGAUUUUUUUUUGGUCAAGCAUAGUUGCAAAAAUUGAUAACACGAAUUAGAGUUCAGACUUUAUAAUUUUACUGAAUCAUUUUAAGGAUUGAAACUGAGUAAAACUUUACGUCAUUUCAUUUUGCCCCCUUUCUCCCCCAUCUCCAAUUAAGGAUCUCGGGAUUCACAAGUUGCAUUUCGCUCCAUUUCAGAAUAAAAUGAUAAUUUUAAUUAUUUGUUUAUACUGUAUUCAAAUUAUUUACGCCAUAUUUAUAAUUUUCUUUUACACUAUAUUCUAACUCAUUUACACCCUAUUCUAACUCAUUUACACCAAGGACAAGCUUGUCUUGUGAAAACCCAUCCACCUCAAGUAAACGUCAACAUGAAAAAUCAAAGUGGGAAUGGGAAAUGUGGGGAACUCCAACCACACAAGAGCAAGAUGUCCAAUAGGAUGAUGGGGAAUACUAGAAGUUUACUAGUACACUGAAUUGAAACUAUAUAAUUUCUCAAACCAUUUUAGCAUUCUCGGCGUAGUUAGGAAUAUGUAGAACUACUGCUAGUUAUAUAUUGAUCUCAUGCCGUAUACUUAUCUGAUAGUUCUUUGGCCAUGGCCAGAACCGACUUCACGACGGGCAAGUUAUAUGUUCUCUUAAAGCUAGAAGGGCAAAUUGAUCUAUCGGGGUCGUUCUCAAUUAUCAUAGUUUCUAUGUGGAUCAAUUAGCCCUCUUGCCUUGAAAGAACAUAUAACUUCUGAUCCUGCAACUUCAAUCUUGGCAGAAAAUUGGUCUGCUGUAGUCUCCUUCAGCUACUGGAUUGGAGUCACUUGCAGCUCUCGCCACAAGGCAGGGUUACCGAGGUCAGUAUUUCGAACAUGGGUUUCGCGGGCAGCGCUCCUCCACACCUAGGAAACCUCUCGUUUCUUGUUUCUCAUAUCUUGCUUGUUUCUCUUGACAUGAGAAACAAAUUAACUGAAACGCUGUGCUGCCAGAAAAAAAUGGUUGAUUUGGGUCGAUUGAGAUACAUUGAUUAAAUUGGGAUACAAACAACUUUGUUGAAGAGGUACCAACAUGGUUCGGUUUGUUAGAUAAGCUUCAAUCCCUGCUUUUGUCCAAGAACCAGUUUAGUGGAUAUAUACCAACAGAAAUUGGGAAUCUGUACAAGCUGCACCUGAGAAUGUUCUCUAUAACAAUUUGGAAGACUUGAGAAGUAUGUAGUCAUGCCUACAUGCAAAAAAGUGGAACCAUGGUUCAAAGUCGCGGUCGCGGUCAUGGUCGCGGCCCGGAACGUUCCACGUCGGUCUCGGCAUAUCGGUCACGGUCUCGGUGAGACGCAAAUUUUAAAGUAUUUAAUAUUCUAAAAAUUGUUAAUAAUAUAAAAAAAAAGUAUGCUAAACAAAAAUAAUAAAAAAUAACAAAAGAAAUGGCCAAGUCAAUCCGUCACGGUGUAACUCGGCCGAUUUCUCGUCUUGACUCAGGAUAAUUCAGAGUGACUCGGUAUGACUCGGCUGAGUCAAUCCGUCGCGGUGACGUCUCGGCCGAUUUCUCGGCGAAUCAAGUAUCUCAGUAUCGUCUCGUCACGGUAUCGUAUCGGUAGAGGUCGAGACGGUGACGACUCGGCCGAGUCAUCUCGGUCUCGGCCGAGACUUCGAACCAUUAGUGGAACUGAACCAAUAUAAAUAUUAUCAAUUAGGUUAAUUACAUCUGAAAGCCAAGCAGAAGAAAAUAGCUAUAGGUUUCUGAUUCCAGCCCAUGUGCUAAUUUUUUCUGGAGAAGUUUACUCAAUUGUCUAGAUGUCAUGAAAAUUCUUAAUGUCAGAAAGUGAUAUAAUCUACAGUUUUGCAGGAGGAAUACCAAGAGAGAUUUGUAAUUUAACUGUGCUCAAUAGCCUGGUUUUACCAUUUAUGCAAUAACCACUUGACAGAUAGAUUAAUAACAAUAGUAUUCCUUUUUGUUGAUUAACCUUCAAAGAGGCUGAAUUAUCACGUUGAUUACCCCCAUGAACAUUCAUUUGCAUCAGUCUGUCUUGACUUUUUCAGUUGUCCAGUGACUGGUAGAUAGCAGCGCAGUUGUUUGGAUGGUAGCACUCUUGCAUUUUUUUAAAAAACUUUCUCACUUUUUUUUUUUUAAGUAAGAGAUAUUGAAUUCAGAAUCUUUUACAUAUAA